CCCUUAGAUGUCCUGGGCUGCACGCGCGCUACACUGAUGUGUCCAGUAAGCACCUAACCUCUUCCGAAAGGAACGGGUAACCUUUGCAAAGCACAUCGUGAUGGGGAUAGAUUAUUGCAAUUAUUAGUCUUGAACGAGGAAUUCCUAGUAAGCACAAGUCAUCAGCUUGUGUUGAUUACGUCCCUGCCCUUUGUACACACCGCCCGUCGCACCUACCGAUUGGAUGGUCCGGUGAAGCCUCGGGAUUGUGGCGGUUGCCUUUAUUGGUGGCCGCCGCGAGAACUUGUCUAAACCUUAUCAUCUAGAGGAAGGUGAAGUCGUAACA
Molecule: ribosomal RNA, 325 nt
Filed under: uncultured eukaryote
Lineage: Eukaryota
Description: partial 18S ribosomal RNA
Rfam family: Eukaryotic small subunit ribosomal RNA
Source: RNAcentral